Molecule: transfer RNA, 95 nt
Filed under: Streptomyces griseocarneus
Lineage: Bacteria; Bacillati; Actinomycetota; Actinomycetes; Kitasatosporales; Streptomycetaceae
Description: tRNA-Ala
Source: RNAcentral
GCCGGUCGGGCCGCUGCGGGGCGGCGAGGCCCUUGGCCCGGAUCUCGGGGCGGGCCGCCGGCACGGUGUCCUGGACCUUCUCCAGGGACGGGCGC